CGAUUUAACUCCUUCCCUUAGUUAAUAGGUCUACGUUUCUCUUUCCCCAAUUCCUUUCCCCGAUUCAUUCUAUUUCCCCACUUGCAACAAGAGGUUGUGAGUUUGAGUACACGCUGCCCUCCCAGACCCCAUUAACUAAGAUUAUACUGUUUUGUAUCUAACUUCAGAUUCUUCUAUUUCUCCCGGUCUGUUUCUCCCGCUAGAAGAAUCGAGAUUCAAAUCAGAAAAAGUAAAUGAAAUUCGUUUAGCAGCUUCAAUAAUCUUCAGGUAAUGAUACAUAUUUAGUACCAAAAGUUCUUUCCUCUUUAUUAGGGUUCAUGCAUGUUUGGAAGUGUAGCGAUUUUCCCCAAUAUUGUUCUAAUUUUUUCCCGUCAGUUUGAUAAUCUAUGAUUCAUUCUGUCAAUUGAAUAUAUAACAUCCAAAAUAGUAAUCUAUUACUGGAAAAAAAGGACAACAGAACUACGAUCGCUGUUAUUAGAAAAUAUUACUAAUCUAAUGGUUUCAGUACUUUUUUCUUUUAUUUUUGAGUCCAUUUUUUGUUAUUUUUCUGUCCAAUUAGUUUGGUAUUUCUUUAAAUUUUUGCUGCUUUGUCUGGUAUUUCGAUUGCAUGCACUUAAUUUUGAUAUUUUAAGUUGUUGUUCUUGCUAAUAUUAAGCUAAAUAUUAUAUAUGGGCUUGAUAGGUAGCCGAGGGAUCAAAAACUGCUGGUGAAGCUAUUGGGAUUGACGUCGU
Molecule: long non-coding RNA, 731 nt
Filed under: Nicotiana tabacum (common tobacco)
Lineage: Eukaryota; Viridiplantae; Streptophyta; Magnoliopsida; Solanales; Solanaceae
Description: long non-coding RNA (NTAB_LNC006539)
Source: RNAcentral